GACGAACGCUGGCGGCGUGCUUAACACAUGCAAGUCGAACGGAAAGGCCCUGCUUUUGUGGGGUGCUCGAGUGGCGAACGGGUGAGUAACACGUGAGUAACCUGCCCUUGACUUUGGGAUAACUUCAGGAAACUGGGGCUAAUACCGGAUAGGAGCUCCUGCUGCAUGGUGGGGGUUGGAAAGUUUCGGCGGUUGGGGAUGGACUCGCGGCUUAUCAGCUUGUUGGUGGGGUAGUGGCUUACCAAGGCUUUGACGGGUAGCCGGCCUGAGAGGGUGACCGGCCACAUUGGGACUGAGAUACGGCCCAGACUCCUACGGGAGGCAGCAGUGGGGAAUAUUGCACAAUGGGCGGAAGCCUGAUGCAGAAACGCCGCGUGCGGGAUGACGGCCUUCGGGUUGUAAACCGCUUUCGCCUGUGACGAAGCGUGAGUGACGGUAAUGGGUAAAGAAGCACCGGGUAACUACGUG
RNAcentral lists this ribosomal RNA (468 nucleotides) under uncultured bacterium. RNAcentral describes it as "partial 16S ribosomal RNA". It matches the Rfam family "Bacterial small subunit ribosomal RNA", at positions 28 to 507 of the family's 1533-position model. The record is from RNAcentral.